CUAAAGAGAGAGCUCUUUACAAAUAGUUAAAUUUUACAAAAUCACACCCGACAAUUUUGGUUCCAUACCUUGGGAAUAGAUGUUUCUACAGAGUUCGAAGGUCUGAAAUGAGUUCGAGACGUGGACAGGAACGAUGCAGAGAAAGUCCGUAGAGGGGGAUGUAUAGCUGCAGGAUUCGGAUUGUAAGUUGUAGGAAAGAUGGGUCACCGGCGACGAACCGUAGAAACCUCAGCGAAGAACUUCGGCGGAAACGUGUGGGGAUAUAGCGGAGAUAGAGCGGCGAGAGCGAAUCACUUACGUCUCCUUCGUCUUCCCCAAUUGAUCUUUCUUUUUCUCCUUGAAAUCUUUCUCACGACAGUUUUAAUAGUACUCUCAACUAUUCGAGUUUUUCACCUCAGUCGGUGCAGGGGAGAACGAUGUGUCCGGACAUCUGUCCUAACAUGACACCAAUGGCUAAAAUCACGCAGAUCGG
Molecule: long non-coding RNA, 472 nt
Filed under: Androctonus crassicauda
Lineage: Eukaryota; Metazoa; Arthropoda; Arachnida; Scorpiones; Buthidae
Source: RNAcentral